This 585-nucleotide ribosomal RNA is filed under the name uncultured bacterium. RNAcentral's name for it is "partial 16S ribosomal RNA". It matches the Rfam family "Bacterial small subunit ribosomal RNA", at positions 355 to 939 of the family's 1533-position model. The record is from RNAcentral.
UGGGGAAUUUUGGACAAUGGGCGAAAGCCUGAUCCAGCAAUGCCGCGUGUGUGAAGAAGGCCUUCGGGUUGUAAAGCACUUUUGUCCGGAAAGAAAUCCUUGGCUCUAAUACAGUCGGGGGAUGACGGUACCGGAAGAAUAAGCACCGGCUAACUACGUGCCAGCAGCCGCGGUAAUACGUAGGGUGCAAGCGUUAAUCGGAAUUACUGGGCGUAAAGCGUGCGCAGGCGGUUUGCUAAGACCGAUGUGAAAUCCCCGGGCUCAACCUGGGAACUGCAUUGGUGACUGGCAGGCUAGAGUAUGGCAGAGGGGGGUAGAAUUCCACGUGUAGCAGUGAAAUGCGUAGAGAUGUGGAGGAAUACCGAUGGCGAAGGCAGCCCCCUGGGCCAAUACUGACGCUCAUGCACGAAAGCGUGGGGAGCAAACAGGAUUAGAUACCCUGGUAGUCCACGCCCUAAACGAUGUCAGCUAGUUGUUGGGGAUUCAUUCCUUAGUAACGUAGCUAACGCGUGAAGUUGACCGCCUGGGGAGUACGGUCGCAAGAUUAAAACUUAAAUGAAUUGACGGGGUCAUAGCUGUUUUUCU